Molecule: unclassified non-coding RNA, 224 nt
Filed under: Hevea brasiliensis (rubber tree)
Lineage: Eukaryota; Viridiplantae; Streptophyta; Magnoliopsida; Malpighiales; Euphorbiaceae
Source: RNAcentral
GGCUUGCGUUUGGUAUGUCAAACAAAGGAUUUCUUGGUCUAACAACCAGGAAAAUGAUCAAAGUUGCAAUUCCAAGGAAGAUGAGGAGAAGACUAAAAAGUAGACACAGGAAUGCAAAACACCAUAUAAUUGGAUUGGUUUGUCGUGGCCGAGCUUGCUGUAGUAAUUGUGGUUUUCUGUACUUGCUUGAGUCUGUAUGAUUUGUAUUGAGCAGUGGAGUAUGU